This is a non-coding RNA of Camellia sinensis, 537 nucleotides long. Lineage: Eukaryota; Viridiplantae; Streptophyta; Magnoliopsida; Ericales; Theaceae. The record is from RefSeq and is a predicted model, not a curated record.
CACUAUUGCUGGUCUUUUACUAUUAAUACCAUUUUCUCAAUUCCAACAGAUCGACUUGUAACUCUUUUGGCUAAAGAGAGAAGCCAUUCACUGACUUACAUUGGAUGCAUAAAGAAAGGACCUGUGAUAACUGACUCUAAACUGAAGUGGUAUGAGAAAUCAGGACAUCUGAUUGGUAGUGAAUACGUCUUGCAUGCUUAUGGUCCUAUCUAUGUUCUUUCUGUAGAGGUGGUAGCAUCACUGGCAAUUGCUAGAAAUAACAGAUUGAUAAUGUUGGCAUGGAUACACUGAUGUUUUUGGGCCAGAUUGAUGAUGUUUGCAUGGGCGCAAUUUACAUUAUAUUUUUUGUUUAUGGAAAACAUGUACAGCUGAUAUGUUUUGUUAUUAAGAUUUUUUUUUUUUUUAGUUUGAAUUGUAAUUGUUGGUUCAGAUAGUAUAUGUAUUUGUUAGAUUAUACUAUGUUUAUGGAUUCUUAUUUUCUUUGAUAUGUACCGUUAAUAGUUAAGUUGUGUAUAUGGUUGAAAAUUGAAUGCUACA